This is a long non-coding RNA of Aethalodelphis obliquidens (Pacific white-sided dolphin), 3707 nucleotides long. RefSeq lists it as uncharacterized. The transcript is spliced from 3 exons. Lineage: Eukaryota; Metazoa; Chordata; Mammalia; Artiodactyla; Delphinidae. The record is from RefSeq and is a predicted model, not a curated record.
UAUCCCCAUUCCCAUUUCACACUCACACACCCAAAUGGAAAGAAAUCCUUGGUAAGACUUUGCACUAAAAAUUGGCCACAAGAAGUAGUCACCAUCUGCAAAGGAAAGCUUUGUCUCAUAGAUCAGGGGUCCCCAACCCCCGGGGCUGUGGACCAGUAUCUGUCCACGGCCUGUUAGGAACCGGGCCGCACAGCAAGAGGUGAGCAGUGGACGAGCAGGCGAAGCUUCCUCUGCCUGCGGCUCCCCAUCCCUCCCCAUAGCUACAUUACCGCCUGAACCAUACUCCCCCCCCUCAAAGCCCCGUCCAUGGAAAAACUGUCUUCCACGAAACAGGUCCCUGCUGCCAAAAAGGUUGGGGACCACUGUCAUAGAUGCUUCACUCCCCAGGACCUGAAGGAGUGAAACCGCCUCCCAAGAUGCGAAGGCCUUGAGCAGACACUGCUGCGCCGGGGAACACGCAGGACUUCAGAGAUCCGACUCCAGCCCUCAAGGAUCUGACUCCAGCCCUCAAGGACAGUGCCAGCAAGGAGAAAAAUAUCAGGACCCUGUGUGCAGGAGAAGGAGCCCCAAGGGAGAAGAAGGAAAGUCCUAGAUGUCCAUCUGAGGGAGACCCUGGACUGAAAGAAUUUAGAGUCCUGAGAAGAAUACCUGGAUCUAGUCUUAAUAUGCUGCUGGGAUUGUUCCUUGAGACUUGAGCGUGACUGUGGCAUACAGCAAAUGAAGAAGAGGGGUCCAAACAGCCUUCGCAGGAUCACUGAGGCUUCACUGUCACUCCUGUUUAAGAUGCCGGCUGGAGCCUUCUCAGCCAUGCUACACGGAAGCAAAUCUGGAAAAGUAGGAGAGGUAACACCCCUCAAGACAACCCCUGUCCAGUGGGGAAUGGAAACCCGUGGAUAAAUACUCCUUUCUUGGGAAGAUAAUUCUGAGGUAUGGGAAUUCCCUGGCGGUCCAGUGGUUAGGACUCCCCGCUUCUACUGCAGGGGGCCCAGGUUCAAUCCCUGGUCAGGGAACUAAGAUCCCAUAGGUCGUGUGGCACGGCCAAGAAAAAAGAAAAUUCUGAGGUGUAUUCUGCAUGGCUGUUCAGGGGACUUUAGUGAGACUGAGCCCCACAUCAACUCAAUAAUAGUGAUCAAACUCAGUAAUUCAAAAACCGUUACAUUGGUUUUACCCCCUUCCCUGUUUUACUCUUCUCCUGCCCUCACUCAUGUUCCCUGGGAUGAGUAGUAUGCUGGUCAAUGUUUUUUCCUUGCUCUCUAGGAAAAAAAAAAAUCACCCUGGUUUGUACCAUUUGCCCAUUUCUGCAGUUGGAUAGAGAUAUGCAUAGUUGGUCCAGUUGGUCCUUGGGAGCCAGUAGGAGCUGAGUCUGAGCACACCACUGCUCGGGAGCAUGACCCAAAAUAAACUACCUGCCUACAAAUCUUUGUCUCAGAAGACACAGGUGGCUUAGGAAGGACGAAGAGUUACCUAUCUGUCUGAGCCAAUAAGCAGAGAGUGGUUGGUACACCGACAUUAGCCAUGGAUACCAAUAAGACAAAAUAUUAUAAUGAGAUGGGAGGGAGAAGAAUUUCUAUUAUAUAACAAAUUGAUGGUGGGAAAAGGGGUAGGGGGUAAGAAUUUGAGGAUACUCAGAAGUUUCUCCUGGGUAGAUAGUAAUGCCAUUUCCAGACACAGAGAAUAUAGGACAAUGGUGAGUUCAUCCUUGGAUCUAUGAAAUUUAAGGGUUUUUAAAGAUAUUCAGGCAGAGUGUGGAAGCUGUGCACAGUAUUAUUGUGAAAUGUUAUUGUUGAUAAUUACUCAUUAUUCCUGGAAUAUCCCGCCUGCCUCUCUCUUCUCCAACCCAGGCAGCAGUGAGCAGUGCUUUCCAUAUUUACUGCCUUCAGGGGAGGGCUGUUACUACAGAAAAGAAAAGAGAAAGAUGAGUCCAUGUUCAGUUUAUAAGUUUCAAAACAGAGCUUUGAAUCUCCUAGUAGAAAAAAUAGGUUGAGAUAAAAAGGUUUUUUGAGUUUCAAAAGCCUGGAUUUUGAGCGCCAAGAGCCAAAGUUGAUGCCAUUAGCAUCAGAUUUUGAUAGAAUGAAUGAUGAUAAAAGAGCCAGUUUUCCUACCCUUAAGAGAGAGUUGGAGGUGAAAACAAGAUAUAGUUGAGUGUCUCUGAGAAAGGACCCUUCUCCCAGCCUACAUCCUCACUGCUGGGCUAUCAGUAGGAGACAGUGAUAUAAUUCCCAAAUAAUGGUGGAGAUCUGAGAGGAAGUGUGUGCCCACUUCCUAUCAGGAUCCCUAUGAGAUGGUAAGCCCCAGGUAGUUCUCCUUGGCUAGCAUACCUAGCAGCAAAUAAUAGCUAUAGUAGAAAUGAUGAUAGUGUGUGAUCUGACAGUGUGCUGGAGUCCAGCUGCCAAGAUUUCAGUCUCCAAAGUAGUAGGGGAUAGCAUGCAGAAGUUUCCACAAUCCUAAAAGAGGGUGGAAAAUGGUUGAGAGAGGGCCAGUGAACCAGGAGAGCCCGUAGAGAUGGGACAACGGCCAGAGAAUGAUAGGUGACCUGACAACAGCUAGAAUUACAAUACGGAGGGAUGACAGGAAAAAACCAGUCACCCUCCUCCACGGCCAUGACCACAUGUAAGCUCCUCGUACUUAGAUUCUACUCGUGAGAGAAUGGGGAGAAAAGAAAAAUAAUCAUUUGAUUGAGUUAAAGCCUGAAAAGACUGGGGAAAUCUGGAAUGACUACAUCUUUACACCUAAAAUUUACCAUAACUAAUUACUGUAACUUAAUCAAAAUUUACCACACUAGAAGAUUAAAAGAAAAAAGACCAUCUCAAAAGAUACAGAAGACAUUGUUAAGUAAAAUUCAGUGUCCAUUUAUGACCAAUGAUCUUAGUGAACUAGGAAUAGGAGUGAGCUUCUUAACCAAAUAAAGGCUAGAAAGAAAAAGACAAACCCCAAAUGAAAACAAAAUCCAAAACCCUACAGCAAAUAUCAUUCUCUUUAAAACCAGGAAUAAGACAAUUAUGCCUGUUAUCACCAUGUCUAUUUGUUAGACAGGACACUAAGAUAAAAAAAAGAAACACAAGUUGAGAGGAAUGGAAAGGAACAAGCAAAAUUGUCAGUCAAAGAUGUUAAUGAAUGUCCGUGUGAAAGUGAAAAUAAUUAUUUUAGACAUAAUGAAGUUGAGGAAGUUUGUUGAAUACUAAGGUAAAUGUACAAAACUGUUGUAUUUUUGUACACCAGCAAAAAACUAUUAGGGUGUGUAAUAAAAAAAGACAUUAAAUUUACAGUAGCAAGGAAAAAUGCAAAGUAUGUUGGGAUAAAUGUAGCAAAAUAUAUGCAAGACCACAGUGGAGAAAAUUGUAAAACUUUUUGAAAGACACUAAGAUUUAUUUAUUUUUAAACUUUACUUUUUAGAACAGUUCAGAUUUACAGAAAAAUUGUGAAGAUAGAACAGAGAGUGCCUAUCCACCCCACCCUCAGUUUCUCCUGUUAUUGCCAUCUUAUGUUAGUAUGGUACUUUGUUGUAAUUAAUAAAAAAAACCUUUAUAAUGCAUUAUUAUGAGAUAAUAGAAAAUAUAUGUCUGCCCCCAGUUCCCAGCACAGAGCUCCUAAAACCCUUGGCAUUUCCUAAGUGAUAAGAGCACUAGGGACAUCUGUUGUUCUACUAUUGAUCUUUUGUUUUGUUUUGUUUUGUUUUUGCGGUACGCGGGCCUCUCACUGUUGUGGCC